CCUACGGGAGGCAGCAGUGAGGAAUAUUGGUCAAUGGCCGAGAGGCUGAACCAGCCAAGUCGCGUGAGGGAAGAAUGUCCUAUGGAUUGUAAACCUCUUUUGUCAGGGAGCAAAGUCACCCACGUGUGGGUGAUGGAGAGUACCUGAAGAAAAAGCAUCGGCUAACUCCGUGCCAGCAGCCGCGGUAAUACGGAGGAUGCGAGCGUUAUCCGGAUUUAUUGGGUUUAAAGGGUGCGUAGGCGGGUUAUUAAGUCAGCGGUAAAAUCGUGGAGCUCAACUCCAUCCAGCCGUUGAAACUGAUGAUCGUGAGUGGGCGAGAGGGAUGCGGAAUGCGUGGUGUAGCGGUGAAAUGCAUAGAUAUCGCGCAGAACUCCGAUUGCGAAGGCAGCAUACCGGCGCCCGACUGACGCUGAAGCACGAAAGCGUGGGUAUCGAACAGGAUUAGAUACCCCAGUAGUC
Molecule: ribosomal RNA, 459 nt
Filed under: uncultured bacterium
Lineage: Bacteria
Description: partial 16S ribosomal RNA
Rfam family: Bacterial small subunit ribosomal RNA
Source: RNAcentral